AGGGCAAUGCUAAUCUUCCCAGUAUUGUUCCAACAUUCGUCUAUCUGCUGCCAAAGGAAAGAAAAUAAAGAAACAGACGCUGAUCUUUAACUAGAAUUGACCACUAAAUCUGUGAGAUAUGGGGCCACUAAAAGGAUGGACCCUAAACCCAAUGACUUUUGUCCAUAUAAGAAGAGAAAUGGACACAGAAACACCCAGAUACAUGGAGAAGAAGACAAUGUGAAGACAGAAGCAGAGGUUGGAGUGAUGUGUCUACAAGACCAAGGGAGGCCAAGAAUUGCCUGCAACCACCAGAAGCUAGGAGAGAGGUGGGAACAUCGAGAUUCUCCCUCAGGAGCCUGCAGAAGUAAGCGCCUCUGCUGACACCUGGA
This is a long non-coding RNA of Zalophus californianus (California sea lion), 371 nucleotides long. RefSeq lists it as uncharacterized. The record is from RefSeq and is a predicted model, not a curated record. Lineage: Eukaryota; Metazoa; Chordata; Mammalia; Carnivora; Otariidae. The transcript has 3 exons.